Molecule: ribosomal RNA, 1234 nt
Filed under: metagenome
Description: bacterial LSU rRNA
Rfam family: Bacterial large subunit ribosomal RNA
Source: RNAcentral
UGAAUACGAGACGCUACGGCGUCGAAGCAGUCUAUGUCAUACUUCCAAGAAAAGCUUGCACUGUCAUAAACAAAUAAUGCCUGUACCAUAACCGACACAGGUGGGUAGGUAGAGUAUACUAAGGGGCGCGAGAUAACUCUCUCUAAGGAACUCGGCAAAAUGACUCCGUAACUUCGGGAGAAGGAGUGCCUUAUUUAUAAGGUUGCAAUAACAAGAUCCAAGCAACUGUUUAUCAAAAACACAGGUCUCCGCUAAGUCGUAAGACGAUGUAUGGGGGCUGACGCCUGCCCAGUGCCAGAAGGUUAAAGAAGUUGGUUAGCAUUAGCGAAGCUGAUAACUGAAGCCCUGGUGAACGGCGGCCGUAACAAUAACGGUCCUAAGGUAGCGAAAUUCCUUGUCGGGUAAGUUCCGUCCCGCACGAAAGGCGUAAUGAUUUGGAUACUGUCUCAGAGAGGGGCUCGGUGAAAUAGACUUGUCUGUGAAGAUGCGGACUACCUGCACCAGGACAGAAAGACCCUAUGAAGCUUUACUGUAACUUGAAAUUGAAAUUGGACUUUAUUUGCGCAGUAUAGGUGGGAGGCAUUGAUAAUAUUCUUGCGGGAAUGUUGGAGCCAUCAGUGAGAUACCACUCUUGUAAUGUUAGAUUUCUAACUUUGGAUCAUUAUCUGGUCAAAGGACAGUUUCAGGCGGGCAGUUUGACUGGGGCGGUCGCCUCCUAAAUGGUAACGGAGGCGCACAAAGGUUUCCUCUGAACGGGUAGAAAUCGUAUCUAGAGUGUAAAGGCAUAAGGAAGCUUGACUGUGAGACCUACAAGUCGAGCAGGGACGAAAGUCGGUCUUAGUGAUCUGACGGUGCUGAGUGGAAAGGCCGUCACUCAACGGAUAAAAGUUACUCUAGGAUAACAGGCUGAUCUCCCCCAAGAGUUCACAUCGACGGGGAGGUUUGGCACCUCGAUGUCGGCUCAUCGCAUCCUGGGGCGGUAGUACGUCCCAAGGGUUGGGCUGUUCGCCCAUGAAAGCGGUACGCGAGCUGGGUUCAGAACGUCGUGAGACAGUUCGGUCCAUAUCCGGUGUAGGCGUUAGAAUAUUGAGAGGAGCCUUCUUUAGUACGAGAGGACCGAGAAGGACAUACCUCUGGUGUACCAGUUAUCGUGCCAACGGUAAACGCUGGGUAGCUAUGUAUGGAGAGGAUAACCGCUGAAAGCAUCUAAGUGGGAAGCCCACCUCAAGAUAAG